RNAcentral lists this ribosomal RNA (671 nucleotides) under bacterium SCSIO13119. RNAcentral describes it as "bacterial SSU rRNA". It matches the Rfam family "Bacterial small subunit ribosomal RNA", at positions 56 to 699 of the family's 1533-position model. The record is from RNAcentral.
UGCAAGUCGAGCGCAGGAACCGUCUGAACCCUUCGGGGGGACGACGGCGGAAUGAGCGGCGGACGGGUGAGUAACACGUAAAGAACCUGCCCAUAGGUCUGGGAUAACCACGAGAAAUCGGGGCUAAUACCGGAUGUGUCAUCGGACCGCAUGGUCCGUUGAUGAAAGGCGCUCCGGCGUCGCCCAUGGAUGGCUUUGCGGUGCAUUAGCUAGUUGGUGGGGUAACGGCCCACCAAGGCGACGAUGCAUAGCCGACCUGAGAGGGUGAUCGGCCACACUGGGACUGAGACACGGCCCAGACUCCUACGGGAGGCAGCAGUAGGGAAUCUUCCACAAUGGACGAAAGUCUGAUGGAGCAACGCCGCGUGAACGAUGAAGGCUUUCGGGUCGUAAAGUUCUGUUGUAAGGGAAGAACAAGUGCCGCAGGCAAUGGCGGCACCUUGACGGUACCUUGCGAGAAAGCCACGGCUAACUACGUGCCAGCAGCCGCGGUAAUACGUAGGUGGCAAGCGUUGUCCGGAAUUAUUGGGCGUAAAGCGCGCGCAGGCGGCCUCUUAAGUCUGAUGUGAAAGCCCCCGGCUCAACCGGGGAGGGCCAUUGGAAACUGGGAGGCUUGAGUAUAGGAGAGAAGAGUGGAAUUCCACGUGUAGCGGUGAAAUGCGUAGAGAUGU